CUGCUGUUAUACAGAAAGAAAAGAUAUAGGAGUGGAAAGCCUAUAUUAUGACGGUACUGUAUCAGAAAGUGACGGCAAACUAUGUGCCAGCAGCCGCGGUAAUACAUAGGUCACAAGCGUUAUCCGAAAUUAUUGGGCGUAAAGCGUCCGUAGGUUGUUUGUUAAGUCUGGAGUUAAAGACCGGUGCUCAACGCCGGCACGCUUUAGAUACUGGCAAACUAGAGUUAUAAAGAGGUAAGUGGAAUUUCAUGUGAAGCGGUGGAAUGCGUAGAUAUAUGAAAGAACACCAAUGGCGAAGGCAGCUUACUGGUUAUAUACUGACACUGAGGGACGAAAGCGUGGGGAGCAAACAGGAUUAGAUACCCUGGUAGUCCACGCCGUAAACGAUGAUCAUUAGUUGGUGGGGGAACCCUCGCUAACGCAGCUAACGCAUUAAAUGAUCCGCCUGAGUAGUAUGCUCGCAAGAGUGAAACUUAAAGGAAUUGACGGGGACCCGCACAAGCGGUGGAGCAUGUGGUUUAAUUUGACGAUACGCGUAGAACCUUACCCACUCUUGACAUCCCUUGCAAAGCUAUAGAGAUAUAGUGGAGGUUAACAAGGUGACAGAUGGUGCAUGGUUGUCGUCAGCUCGUGUCGUGAGAUGUUCGGUUAAGUCCUGCAACGAGCGCAACCCCUAUCCUUAUUUACUAACAUUAAGUUGAGAACUAUACGGAUACUGCUCAGGUAACUGGGAGGAAGGUGGGGAUGACGUCAAAUCAUCAUGCCUCUUACGAGUGGGGCAACACACGUGCUAUAAUGGCCGGUACAAAGAGACGCAAUAUGGUGACAUGGAGCAAAUCUGAAAAACCGGUCUCAGUUCGGAUUGAAGGCUGCAAUUCGCCUUCAUGAAGUCGGAAUCGCUAGUAAUCGUAGAUCAGCUACGCUACGGUGAAUACGUUCUCGGGUCUUGUACACACCGCCCGUCACACCAUGGGAGCCGGUAAUGCCCAAAGUC
Molecule: ribosomal RNA, 994 nt
Filed under: Mycoplasma sp. P_2
Lineage: Bacteria; Bacillati; Mycoplasmatota; Mollicutes; Mycoplasmatales; Mycoplasmataceae
Description: bacterial SSU rRNA
Rfam family: Bacterial small subunit ribosomal RNA
Source: RNAcentral